UACAGAGGGUGCGAGCGUUAAUCGGAAUUACUGGGCGUAAAGCGCGCGUAGGCGGCCUUGCAAGUCGGGUGUGAAAUCCCCAGGCUUAACCUGGGAACUGCAUUCGAGACUGCAUUGCUAGAGUAUGGGAGAGGGAAGUGGAAUUUCCGGUGUAGCGGUGAAAUGCGUAGAUAUUGGGAAGAACACCGGUGGCGAAGGCGGCUAUCUGGCACGUAAUUGACGCUGAGGCGCGAAAGCGUGGGGAGCAAACAGG
Molecule: ribosomal RNA, 253 nt
Filed under: uncultured bacterium
Lineage: Bacteria
Description: partial 16S ribosomal RNA
Rfam family: Bacterial small subunit ribosomal RNA
Source: RNAcentral